RNAcentral lists this unclassified non-coding RNA (363 nucleotides) under uncultured fungus. RNAcentral's name for it is "sequence contains ITS1". The stretch from base 1 to 105 matches the Rfam family "5.8S ribosomal RNA", at positions 50 to 154 of the family's 154-position model. The record is from RNAcentral. Lineage: Eukaryota; Fungi.
AAACUGCGAUACGUAAUGUGAAUUGCAGAAUUCAGUGAAUCAUCGAAUCUUUGAACGCAUAUUGCGCUUUAGAGUAAUAUCUAAAGCAUACCUGGUUGAGAAUCAUUUAAAUAAAACUCACAUUUUUUUUCGUUUAAAAAUUUGUGGAUAAUGAAGGUCAAUUAUUGUCCUUUUAAAUUUAAUAGAAUUUAAUUUUUGAUAAUUUAAAAGAAAAAAUUUAAAUCUGCGUGAUACACAUUUUUUCAUUUUUAAAAUUUUAAAUUAUAAUUCUAUAUUUUAAUAGUGGGUUUAAAAAUCCUACAAAUUAAAAAAUUUUUUUAAUAAAACGAUCUCAACUCAGGUAAGACUACCCGCUGAACUUAA